GAUGAACGCUGGCGGCGUGCCUAAUACAUGCAAGUCGAGCGAACAGACGAGGAGCUUGCUCCUCUGACGUUAGCGGCGGACGGGUGAGUAAAACGUGGAUAACCUACCUAUAAGACUGGGAUAAUUUCGGGAAACCGGAGCUAAUACCGGAUAAUAUAUUGAACCGCAUGGUUCAAUAGUGAAAGACGGUUUUGCUGUCACUUAUAGAUGGAUCCGCGCCGCAUUAGCUAGUUGGUAAGGUAACGGCUUACCAAGGCAACGAUGCGUAGCCGACCUGAGAGGGUGAUCGGCCACACUGGAACUGAGACACGGUCCAGACUCCUACGGGAGGCAGCAGUAGGGAAUCUUCCGCAAUGGGCGAAAGCUUGACGGAGCAACGCCGCGUGAGUGAUGAAGGUCUUCGGAUCGUAAAACUCUGUUAUUAGGGAAGAACAAAUGUGUAAGUAACUAUGCACGUCUUGACGGUACCUAAUCAGAAAGCCACGGCUAACUACGUG
Molecule: ribosomal RNA, 497 nt
Filed under: uncultured bacterium
Lineage: Bacteria
Description: partial 16S ribosomal RNA
Rfam family: Bacterial small subunit ribosomal RNA
Source: RNAcentral